Molecule: ribosomal RNA, 253 nt
Filed under: uncultured bacterium
Lineage: Bacteria
Description: partial 16S ribosomal RNA
Rfam family: Bacterial small subunit ribosomal RNA
Source: RNAcentral
UACGUAGGGUGCAAGCGUUGUCCGGAAUUAUUGGGCGUAAAGAGCUCGUAGGCGGUCUGUCGCGUCGGAUGUGAAAAUCCAGGGCUCAACCCUGGACCUGCAUUCGAUACGGGCAGACUAGAGUUCGGUAGGGGAGACUGGAAUUCCUGGUGUAGCGGUGAAAUGCGUAGAUAUCUGGAGGAACACCGGUGGCGAAGGCGGCAUCCUGGACCAAUAUUGACGCUGAGGAGCGAAAGCUAGGGGAGCAAACGGG